Molecule: long non-coding RNA, 10500 nt
Filed under: Homo sapiens (human)
Lineage: Eukaryota; Metazoa; Chordata; Mammalia; Primates; Hominidae
Description: HSALNT0381951
Source: RNAcentral
CAUUUGGUAGUGGUGCCGGAGACGGACCCCUUUAGAUUUCGGGGCGGCUGAGGAGCGCGGCGGCUGCUCUGUGGCUGAGUGAGGGGGGUGGGCGGAAUGGCGGGGGAAGGGAAGGUGACUGUGCCUCGAGGGCCGAGCCGCCCGGCCUUGCCAGCCAGCCGCCGCCUCAGCGUUCGGCCGGGGGCGGGGCCGCAGGUGCGUUCUGCGAGGGGGAGGGGCGCGGCCGGAGGGGUCGGGUCGGGGUCCCCGCCCGGCCGAGGGCUUCGCGGGGCGGCGCGACGGGGUUGCGGAAGGAGGCGGGCGGCUUGAGGUCCGGGGACCGCGGGCUGCCCAGCGGGAGGGCAGAUGAAAGGCCUGGAAGGAGGAGAGGGGUCAGGGUGCAAUGCCGGGAGGGGCUCGUCGGGUCCCGGGUCCGGCGGCUCGCGCUGGGGAGCGUGGCUGCCCCCGUCACCCCCACCGCGGCUGCCCAGCAGCCCGCGCGCCCCUUCCCCUCCGGCCUCGUCCCUGUCAGGCCGCCACCAUCGCCACCCUCGUAUACAUAAGUCAGUAAAAGCAAGAUGCUUCCACUUUUGGAUGACUUACCGCGCGGUCGCGACCCUUCCCACGAAGAGGCUUUUCACUUUGCUGUCAUAUUAGGUCAGCUUGGAAGAAGUGAUCACCAAGAGACACCCAAGAUCUUGUUUAGGCAAUAAAUGAAUGAAGACCAUGGAUUAAGAACCGUUGCUAGAUAUGUAGAAUAUUAAAAGGUGGAAAAGGAAGGUGCUCAUAACUCCUGGUUUUCUGGACCAAACAUAAUUUCUGGGCUUUAUAGACCUAGUGAAAGAGAACGGCGCACGGUUUAUUCUAAUCGUCCACCUGAGUCAUUCGGUUCGGUUUGGGUUGCCAAGGAGGCUCUAACUGGAGCCCUUUCUCCUGGUUUUUCGGCGUGGUUGCCUUGGGUAUUUUUGAAUCACAUUAAGUUUUAAGAGACCUUAAAGCCCCGAUGCCCACUGGGUUACCGACUUACGGCACUAAGUUGGCUGCCUGUGGCUGUUAAUAAACCACGGGGAUUGUUGUCAACGAGGACAGAUACAUCCUUACCUUUCCACACGACUGUAUUUUAGUGUUUGUUUCUACAUGUCUGCACUCUUCCCCACACGCCUCAAGGUAGUUUUUCUGGAUACAUAUGUUUAUUUUUCAGGAACAGGAGUUCAAAGGAGAGAUAAGCCAGUAUGUAUGUUGCAAAGUUAAAAUACUGUUGCAUAAUAGCAAUCCAGUUUCAUUCUUAGACAUACGAAGUUGAGGAGGAAAUAAAAAGUGACAAUGUAAAUAAAACACAUACAGAAUGCUUACACUGGGGAAGAAGCUGUAGUAACUUUAAUAUUGCAACCUGAUGGAUUGCAAGUGUAAAGCCCUGCAACUAAGGAUUUUACUCAGUAAAUUCUUUCAGAUAAAAUGAUAAAUGGAAUUUGAAGUCUGAUGUUUACUCUGAUUAGGUGGGAAAUGCACCAUAAAAGUUAGAAGUCAUUGUUUUAUUUUAUCUGGGUAUAAAUAGUAUAAUUUAUUUAACUUGUUGACUUGCCUGUCAUCCUCAGAUUUUGUUAAUCUUAUUGAAGCCUAUUUGUAUAGUUGGAAUUUAUUCUAAGUUUUAUUGGCUUCUUUGUAAUACAUGAGGAACCCCAAAUUUCCUAUUUAUGCCAUUGAGACAGUUGUUAUUUCUGGAUAUGGUGUUUAGGAUUGUAUUCAAACAGAACUCUUAUCAAAACAGGUCAAUAUGGUGUGUAUGAUCUGUGUAACAUAGGAGUCCUGAAGUUUGUGUUCUCUUUGAUGGUAAAUGUUCAUUUUCAAUUUAAAAGUUUAACCACAGUUAAGACCACGCUGCUAGCAAUGCAAUAUGAGACAGUGUCUUUCCAGAGGAGUAAUCCCUUAAAAACCAACCAAUCAAAUGCAGAGAUAUGCCCCAUCCAGCUUUGCUAAAUAGAAGCAAAUAGCUCACUUUAUUGUACAAAGACUCAAGAGGAAGACUUAGAAGCCCACCCCCUCCCCCAUUAAAGAGAAAGUACAGAAACAAAUUAGAAUCGAAAAAAUCAUGGCCUGAUUACUAAAUCAAAACGUUAAAUGUGACAGUUGUUUUUAGAAGCAUCUUACAUUUAUACAUUUUGAUGACUUUUGUAUUAAUGUUAGAAAAUUGAAAGAAGGCUUCACUGGAUGUCAGUCGUUACAGAAAUUGAAAUAUCCAAAAGUAUAUGUAUAACCAAUUGAGUAAUUUCCGCUUUCCUUACACACUUGAAAUAAAUUUUCUUUUGCUUUUACAAAUAGAUCUAUAUGUAAGAAAAUUUUCAUAUGAUUUUGCUUUUUUAUUAUUAAAAAAGGAAUAUAGUAAAGCCAAAGCUGAGCUGUAUUUGCCCCACACAACAUGACCAAAUAUAAAAAAAACCACUGCUCUUACAAAUAUCUUAUUUUACAAAGUUGUUUUUUAAAUUACAUUUUAUUGUAUAUUAUAAUAGUAAAUAAGUGUUCUAAGUGGCACUGCAUUUCAGAAAAUAUAGAAAGAAAUCCCAUAUCAAGGAAUCUUGGCUGAAUUUUGAAACGGAGUUGGGAACAGGUAAGAGUUCCUAUCUACUGAGUAAUUCUACAACAGGAAUUGUGUUUGAAAGAUGUAGAGUCUCUAACCUCUGAAACUAGGUUUGAGUCACACUGAGAAGAAUAAAUGAGAUACAAUUCAAAGUUUAACCCCCUAGAGAGAUAGAUGGCCCAGGAAGGAAAGAUCUUCCCGCCUUCCAGAAUAUCCUCCAUCAAGAACCAUUCCAAAUAAAUGAGCAGCCUAUUUUGUUCUCAAAGACAUGAACAAUGAGUGUCCUUAGGCUCUUUUGAAAUGUGUAGGAGAGUACUGUUUUACAAAUAACCAUAUCGUUACUAUUGCCAUUUUAUUAGGUUGGUGCAAAAGUAAUUACCAUUUUUUUUAAAAAAGGCAAAACCACAAUUACUUUUGCACCAAUAGCACAUUUGCCCUUGUUUGGUCUCUAAAGAUGGAGACCCUUUGGUUAGCAUCCUUUUUAUGAGUCAAGCUAAUAUACCCACAGCUCAACUUUUUGUUCUUGAGCUUGAAUCACAUCACUGGCAAUCGGCCGUAGUACUCUCUUACCUACAUCAUGGUUCUGCUGCUUGGACCCCAAAGACAAUGACAUGGAAAAACUCCAGCUUAAUUAUGUUCUUUUUUGUUUGUAUAUGUAAAUAGUUUUUAGGAAUGUAGAUUAUUAUUUUGAAAUCUGUGGUAACAAAUGUGAAAACCACUACAUUUUAUUUAUUUUCAUUGAAUAGCAAAUAAUGUUGAAGCCUGGGAUCUAAAAAGUUAAAUAUUAUUUUAUUUUGCUUAAUAAAGUAUUGGAUAAUUUAGAAAAAGAAUUUUUUUUUAAUGAUUGGAUAGUUACCUUAUUAAUGGAUUGGUCAGGGAGAAAAAGCCCUGUUGGAUGAAAACUGUCAUAUAUGUGACUUUUAAAGUGAAAUUAAUAAGCCAGGCAUGGUGAUGUUCCCCUGUAGGCCCAGCUACUUGGGAGGCUGAAGUGAAAGGAUCACUUGAGCCCAAGAGUUCAAGAACAGCUCGGACAACAUAGCAAGACCUGUUUCUCUAAAAACAAAAAACAGUAAAAAUCUUAAAAACCGCUUAAAGAUGGUUGGUUUCUUUUAAAAAGGAAAAAAAGGCUCAGGUGCAGUGGCUCACGCCUGUAAUCCCAACACUUUGGGAAGCUGCAGGCAGAUAGCUUGAGCUCAGGAGUUCGAGACCAGCCUGGGCAACAUGGUGAAACCCCAUCUUUACCAAAAAUGAAAAAAAAAAAAAAAAAUUAGCCUGGCAUGGUGGCGUGCACCUGUGGUCCCAGCUACAAUAGAGGCUGAGGUGGGAGGAUCCCUUGAGCCCGGGAGGUGGAGAUUGCAGUGAGUAGAGAUCACGCCUCGGCACUCCAGCCUGGGCAACAUAGCCAGAUACUGUCUCAUUAAAAAAAAAAAAAAAAAGGCCGGGCGCGGUGGCUCAUGCCUGUAAUCCCAGCACUUUGGGAGGCCGAGGUGGGCGGAUCACGUGGUCAGGAGAUGGAGACCAUCCUGGCUAACACGGUGAAACCCCGUCUCUAUUAAAAAUACAAAAAAUUAGCCGGGUGAGGUGGCGCACGCCUGUAGUCCCAGCUACUCGGGAGGCUGAGGCAGGAGAAUGGCGUGAACCCGGAAGGCGGAGCUUGCAGUGAGCAGAGAUCACUCCAUUGCACUCCAGCCUGGGCGACAGAACGAGACUCCGUCUCAAAAAAAAAAAAAAAAAAAAGCCAGGUAUGGUGGCUCACGCCUGUAAUCCCAGCACUUUGGGAGGCCAAGGCGGGUGGAUCACCUGAAGUCAGGAGUUCGAGACCAGCCUGGCCAACAUGGUGAAAUGCCAUCUCUACUAAAAAUACAAAAAAAAAAAAAAAAAAAAAAAGCCGGGCUUCGUGGCACGUGCCUAUAAUCCCAGCUACUCGGGAGGCAGAGGCGGGAGACUUACUUGAACCCGGGAGGCAGAGGUUGCCAUGUGCCAAAAUCGCACCAUUGCACUCCAGCCUGGGCAACAAGAGUGAAACUCCAUCUCAAAAAAAAAAAAAAAAAAAUCACUUGCACACUUGUUUGGAAGUCUCUAGAAAUUUUGUGAAUCGGUUUCUUAAAUAUAUUUAUUAAAGACAGUUUUGAAGUAGCAAUGAGGGAAGUUUGUUUACCAUUCAUCAGGAAGAAAACCAGAGCUGUAAGCUCUUACUUUUAGUAUUAAAAUAUGGCUGUGAAGGAAAAAAAUAAAUGCCUUAAAGACAAAUAAUGGAAUGAGGAGCUAUAGAACAAAGUGACAUAAGGCAAUUUUGGUUGAAAAAUAGAAAUGCAAUUAAUUUAGAUUCCACUAAUUUGUUUUAAUCCAUCUAGAGUUGAGGUUUACCUCUAUGAAGAAAAGAAUACUAAAAUCUAUUAAGAUAUGAGGUAGAGAUCAGACUUUUUAAGAACUUUUAAUGUUUUUACCAUUUGCAAAUGGCAUUUAUAACUUUCGUAUACAUAGUAAAAUUAUGUAUACAAUAAUUAAAUCCUCUUAGAUUCUCUGCUUUGUAAUGGCAAUUAUUAUUUGUACCUCUAAGUAAUGAUCUAUUUGUAAAAAAUUUUCUACAGCGCCUCUUGAAUUAGAGAUCAAUUUAAUGCAUUCUGAGAAAUUAGUAAAUUUUUAACGUAUUUCUAGUUGAAAUAUUGGGUUCUUUCAGGCAAGUAUAUGUAUACCCUAAACUUUCUUUGGAAGUUCUGGAUCCUAGCAACUAUAAUAUAAAAACUUUGAAUUCAUUUGUACAUGACGAAAUGAGAUAGCCACGAUAGGUGUUAGAGGACUUUUACCCAGUGGAGGAACAUGUUUUACUCUGCUGCAUUGGUCUUUUUUUUUUUUUUUUCCUUUCUUUUUGAGACAGGGUCUCACUGCCACCCAGGCUGGAGUGCAGUGAUGCGAUCAUGGCUCACUGCAGCCUUGACCUCUUGGGCUCAAGCAGUCCUCCUGCCUCAGCCUCCCAAGUAACUGGGGCCACAGGCAUGCACCACCACACCUGGCUAAUUUUUAAAUUUUUAUAGAGAUGAGGUCUCACCAUGUUGGCCAGGCUAGUCUCAAGCUCCUGGGCUCAAGCGAUCCUCCUGCCUGGGCCUUCCAAAGUGCUGGGAUUACAGAUAUGAGCCGUGGUGCCCAGCCUUGCAUUGGUCUUAUAACUCAAUAAUGUACGUGAAAUUAUUGUAUAUGCCUUCUUGUAUAUGAGAAUUACCACUUCUACAUAUAUAUUGGAGGGCAAGUCAAGUAAGUGUGACAAACAUUUUUCACUAGGCUAGGCCAACUCAUGUCUGUGUUCAUGUUGAGAAGUAAUUCUAUAGAUAAGGCAGAAGAGCAGACAAACUCAGGAUACAAGUGUGCAAAGAUGUAUAACAGACAUGUUGAUCAUUGUAUCAUAGCAUUUUUAUAAUAGCGAAAGAAAGAAAAGAAAGGGGAAGAGGGAAAAUGAAAAAGAAAAAAACAGAAAAGAUUCAUAUGCCCAGGAAAAAAGUCUGGGAGAGUAUGUACCAAAAAAUGUUUAAAAACUUUGAUUACAAUGGUUUUGCAUGGGUGAUGAUGUCAUAGUGGUUUUUGAUUUUGAGGUCUUUUAUUUGUCUAUAUUUAAAAAGUUUUCCAUUGAUAAUUUUUGCAAUGAAACAGGUAUUUUAAUGGAAAUUAUAGGUGUAGAUGAUAUGUGGAAUGUUUAUGCUAGUCAGAAUUUUUGGUGAAGAUAACAGAAAUUUACCUUGACCAACACAAGAAAAAGGCAAUUUUUAUAAGUCUGUCACAGAACCAAAGAACAAGGUCCAGGAAAGAAGAAGCCAGGGAAGCUGGCAAUUUGGAGCACAGCCAAGAUGGUCCCUGCCCUAGGUAAAGUCUUCAGAGGACCUCACACCUCAGAAGUCAUCUCUGCUAUGGGCUGUGAAUCCCACCAUACCUACAAUGAUCUCAGCAUCCUGCCUUUUUGUGUCACUCCCUCGAGGUUCAAAGCCCUUGGCAAGAACAUUUGCAGAUGCCCCAGCUGUCAGAGAGAAAAGAUUAUCUUCCUCCUUUAGCUUCCACAGUGGGAUGUGUGACCCUGCCUCCUGCCUAUUUUAGGACUCUGCCUAAACUAAGUGUUCUGGUGCUAGGUGACCAAAACCAAAAAUCCACGAACAUGUUCUAACAAAAUAAUGCUGUGAAGGUUUCCUGAUGAUCCAUGUUACUCCCAUAGUAUCUCCCCUCUUCCUCCCUACUACUUACCAGCAAGAGACCGUACCACCUAUUUAGGAUCAAUGUAAAGCAGAGCUAAUAUCUGAAAUCCCAGUUUCUUUUCAAAUGCUUCCCUUUCCAAAUUUGAAGCCAGAAGAAACAAUGUAUCACUGCUGAUGUCAAUAAGACUUCCUUGGCUGGGCACCGUGGCUCACACCUGUAAUCCCAGCACUUUUUGAGACCGAGGUGGGCAGAUCAGUUGAGGUCAGGAGUUCAAGACCAGCCUGGCCAACAUGGUGAAACCCCAACUCUACUAAAAAUACAAAAGUUAGCUCAGUGUGGGGGCACACGCCUGUAAUCCCAUCUACUUGGGAGGCUGAGGCAGGAGGAUCGCUUGAACCUGGGAAGUGGAGGUUGCAACUAGCCAAGAUGGUGCCACUGCACUCCAGCCUGGGUGACAGAGUUAGACUCCGUCUCAAAAAAAAAAAAAAAAAAAAAAAAAAAAAAAAAAAAAAAAAAAGACUCUACCGCAGCAAAACUGGUGAUAAUCUUAAAAUUUGGAAAGGAAAUGUCCCUAGUAAAGAUAUUUGAUUUAAAUUACAAGGAAUUUAGUUCUAAGGGAUAAUCGACAUAUUUCAUAAAUAAAUGCAGAUAUCUCUAGAUAUCAAAUGAUAAAAGAUCUUGAGCAGUGAUGGAUUACUGCUAAUGGGUUUCUGUCUGCUACUCUGAGCACAGUUCAGGCUCAAGAACUGACAUGAAGGGUUUGAGAAUUUAGUCAAAAUCUGGAAGUAGGCAGGUGGUCACAGGCUAACUAAGAGUUCAUAACCGGAUGCAGUCGUUGAAGGACAAUUGUGAAGAAAAAAUGCUGAUGGUGAAACGAAUGCAAAAACCACAAACACAUUGAAGAGGCCUAUGUUCCUGGGAACAAAGAGGAAGGUUAUCAAUGAUGUGCUUGUAGAAAACAUAUUAAUACUGGAAUAUUGUCUUCUUUCCCAUCAUUUCAGGUCAGUUAGCUUAGAUUACUAUUCAGCUAGAAAAAACAAAUGAUACCCUUGCAAGGACUCUGAACAAUAUUGGAAUUCAGCUGUUUUGUUUCUAAUAAAACAUGGUUUAACUGUUACAUGAAUAGAAGUUCCUUAUAAGUGCCAAUUACUUCUUUCCAGAGAAGCAGUGCUAAAGAUUCUGUUCAUUGGUACACUAAGUGUUCUUCAUGACCCAGUGUUUUAUUUCCUAUAAGUUAGCUUUUUUUCUCAGAUGAUUUAAUGAAAAUUAUGGCAGUCUGCUCAUUGUUCAGCAAAAUCCAUUUCCUCUUCUCCUUGAACACAAAGCUUGACUAUGUUUCCUAGAUGGCCCUUGCAGUUAGUUGGGGCCAUGUGACUGGGUUCUAGCUUGUUGAUUAUAAGUGGAAGUGAUGCUGCCACUUAAAGGCUUGAAAGUGCCACUGCAUACUGACUGAGAUGCAGUGGAAGCCCUGUGUUUAUGAGGUGGACCCCCUCUCAGGCUGAAAUGUCUCUUAAGAGUCAUUUCAGCAACCUAUUUACUUGCCCACCAAGAGAGAAAUUGUGACUAAGAAACUUUUAUGGGGCUGUGCCAUUAUAUGCUUGUAUCCAUUUGUUACUGUAGCCUAUGCUAGUAACUAACACAAUAAUAAAGGUUUUUUUCAGUCUUAGUUUUCUAUUCAUUUGUAGACCAAUUGUAAAUGUGAAUAUUGUAUUUCCAUUGUAUCUUGGCUUACAUGUUCAAAGCACCAUAAAACAGAUAAAAGGAUUAUAUUAACAAGUACUUAAUGUAGAAAAGAUCAGUGCAAGGGAGUCUAUGGAAUAACAUGCAAAUAUGUCUCUUUCCCCCAAACUUAGUGCUUGGCUCAUAGUAAGUAUAAAAUAAAUGCCUGUUGUUUCAUCAAUAAGUAGUCCUCCCCUCUCAAGCUGCAGACUGACAUUUUAAUUGCUCAUUGGACAUUUCCAAACAGGUAUCUUACAGGAACAAACCACAUGACAUUUCCAAAACGAAUCUCUUCCUUGCCAGCCUCUGCCUACUCUGCCUCCACCAAACUACCUUUAUCCUUCUGGCUCUCCUGUUUUGAUUAAUGGUACCCUUGGAAUUGUCCUCUGUUGACUCCCAUAACCAAAUGGUUAACUCGUCCUCUAAAUUUCCAACUACCUUUCCUCCUAUCAGCCCCACUUUUUCACCACUCUAUCCAAGCAAGCUCGCCCCACCCUUUCUCAUGUCUAAAUUGGCACCGUGUGCUAAGAGUUCCCAGGCUUUGGGUUUUCUCACCAAUAACAUUUAAAAAAAGGGUUUAGGACCAACAUAGAAUUCCCAACUUUUAAUUUUGCCAGAUAAAGACAUUCUUUAAAAAACUUAUCUUUUAUUGUUCUAUAGACUAUUUUUAAAAUGGCAAUGUAGGGAGGACUCAGCUUUAGAAUAUAGGACACUCCUCUACAUUGAAUUUAAUUUUAUGAGAAUUCACUACCUUGUUCAAGAUUGAGUAGUUGGAAACUCUUGUCUAGAUCAGCACUGGCCCUGAGGUCUUGAUGUGGUUUUGUGGCCAGAUGAAUGUUUCUGAGUUCCAGUUCCAGUGCUCCUCCGGUCAACAACAGCCUCUCUGGUUCCCUGUGGCCUGCUUUCCCCCACCUGGCAUUAAAACUCCCCAAAGAAGGCCUCAUACUACCUUCCAGUGUUAUCUCUAAUUUCCAGGCAAAUUAGACCUUCUGUUAUUCCUUUUUCUUUUCUAUCUUUGACUAUGCAGUUCUUGCACCUGUACAGUCUAUCCUUUUUUCCCCACCACGCAAAAUUCUACCCAAAAUUUAAGACCACAUUUGAUAUCAUUGCCUCCUUUGAAACCUUUGAUGAUCCAUUUUACCCACACAAACAAGAGCUUUCCUCUCCUUGAACUUGCAUAACAUGGUAAAGUAUAGCACGUGGCUGCUUUCUUCCACAUGCUGUGCUUAUUUACCUCUCCCACAAAAUUACAAUAAAUCCUUAAAGAUAAGAAAAAUGUUUGAUUCAUUUUUAUUACCCCUCCAUUAUUUGAACAUUAAAUGUUGAAUAUAUAUUUAAUGACUUAAUGAAUACUUUAGACAUAGUGAACUCCAGACUUUAAAAAGUAUCUUUGAAACAUUUAAAUAACUUUAAUCUUCAAUGUCAAGUAAAUAACAGUAGGGUAUUGGGGAAACAGAUUGCUAAGUAACUUCUUUAUUCUUUCCAAAAUGAGGGAAACAAAACUAAAUUCCAGUUUCCAUGAUCAUAACACAGAAGCUUUUCUACUAUAAACAUUGUAUUUUAGGCUCCUACCCAGGAAUUGUCUUUUAUUUUAGGUGGCUAACCAGGAAUUGAAUUGUCUUAAAAGACAAUGUGUAGGAGAAAUAGCAAUUACAGAUCUUCCUAACUCUGAUCUAAUUUUGUGUACAAGCCAUUUUUAGUGAAGGUACUUGGGCACAGCUUUUAUUCCUUUAGAUUUUGUAUUCAUCAAAAAGCGAGAAAAAAUGGGGUGACAAAACUCAUCUAUUUCCCUCUUAUUUCACUUUUGAAGGAAAUCAGAGCACUUGUACUUCCAUGUUCUGUCUUUGACCUAAGAAAUAUUUAUUUCUAUAGUGUUCUAUUAGGAAAAUCAAUAUUGGCCGAGCACCAUGGCUCACACCUGUAGUCCCAGCACUUGGCUGAGGCAGGCAGAUCACCUGAGGUCAGGAGUUCAAGACCAGCCUGGCCAACAUGGUGAAACACUGUCUCGACUAAAAAUAUAAAAAUUAGCUAGGCAUGGUGGUGCACAC